GCAGUCAGUUCAUCCAUUUUAAUAAAGUCUUCAAACUCUUUUUUAAAUUUUUGUACUGCUUCAACAUCACCUGACAAGCUUUCUCCAGUGAUUGUGAGUUGACGCACUUCAUGCGGUUUUUUCCAUUUGUCCAGCAACCAUCCCUGGCUAGCUGUAAUACUUGGGUCAGAGUUACUGUGCGUAAUUAAUUACUCUUUAUGACGAAACACUUAAAAAAAAAAAAAAAAAACUUUAAAAUGUGUUCAGUUGUAAGUUUAAAAAAAACACGGAAGCAAUUAACAAUUAAACAAACUUCAUAGCAUUCAAAUAGAAAAAUACUUGACAUGCAAAAAUCUUGCAGGCAUUUUGGGGUUAUGAUUUCAUCCUUCCAUCCAUCCAAAGUACAAAAGUACCAAAUUUUGAUGGAUGGAUGGAUUAAAUUAACACAAUAUUACAAUAUAAAAUUUUUUUUUGUACCAUGAUAUAUUAUUUAUUAGCCUAAACAAUAAAAUUACUAAAAUGCUAAGUGUAAAAAAAUGAGGAAAUUGGUUAAUUCUGAAUUAUAUCUUACACUUUUUUGAACAUUUUCAGGGAAAUAUAUUUUCACUCUACUUCAUUUUUUAGAUGUCAUGACACACAUUAGAAAAAAAGUUGCAAAAAUCCAGGUAGAAAUAUAAAAUAUGAGGUAGUCUCUCUUGUAAAUAAAGCCAUCCCGCUAUUUCAUUAAAUAACAAAGCCACACACAGCACAAAGAACAACUUUUUAUUGUUGGUCAUUCAUCAAUACUAUCGAUUCAUGCUGCAGCAGAAAAAAUACAUUCGAGAGAUUAAAAUUUGUCGCUUGUGGUACACAUGUCACCACUCACCACCUCCGGCUAGCUCAAAAUUAGGUGAUGAGUGUACAUACAGGUUGGUAGCAGGUCACGAAUUAAUUUAUACGCAAUGUUGUUUUAAUUCAUGUAAAAAUCACAAAAUAUUUCGCACAAAAGAACACUAAAAAAAAUUAAACUGUACAUCCAGAAAAGAAUAAAACCCGGAGCCAUCGCCCGACCACGGCCUGCUUGGCCCAGCGCUUGAACAACAACCACUCGGCACGGUGCUCGGACAAUGACUGACUUUACAGCCUUCCUUCCCUUUGUGCGGGCAGUGUAAUUCUCAGCCAAUCACAGCGCAUAGCAACAGAAACUUCCACGAAAUUCUUACUUCUGUUCCCACGACGCAGCAAUUUUAUCUCUCUUUCACACUCCCGUGACUGUGACUCACACGCCUAGCAUGUGAAACAAAGCCUCGGUCGUGGAAAAAACGAAGGAGAAUUACGUCAGCAUGCCUUCCCACCAGGGCCUGAUUUAGAGGUCUGGAGGUCUGGAGGCCUCGGGGCAACAGAGGAGCGGAGGCCCCCUGGCCCCAAAUUAUUUUCCAAAUAAAAUGAACAAUUUUUUUCAGUCGAGUUUUCCAAUAAAUAAUAAAUUGUGAAAUCAAGUAGAUUCUCUUAGUAUUUAAAAAACAUACAUAAAUAUAAUCGGAGACAAGAAUUAUAUGAAAUUAAAUUUUAGUGUUAAUGAACGGAACCUUCCGUUUGUGGGGGCCCUCCGUUUGUGGAGGCCCCGGGGCUUUCGCCCCGGUUGUCCUCCCCUAAAUCCGGCCCUGCUUCCCACACAAAGAAGACCGCAAAAAAAAAAAACUUUAAAAAUAAACUUAUGUCUUUUAAAAAUAAAAACGAUAAACACGGAGAAUUACAUUUACAAUAAUUUUAAAAGGAAAAAUUUUUUACAUCUAACCUGGAUUGCAUAGGGAAGGCUGUAAUCUGGGUUGUUACACACAUCUUAUGACAUACUACAUGAUUAAUUCAGAAAUGGCUUCGAUCAGCACACAGGAAAUAGUAUUUGGGGUAAAGCUUUGUAUUUCUACAAAGCUGAUAUUUUGCUUGAUAAGACAAAAAUCUAAAGUUUUUUUUUGUAAGUAUUUCACACUACACUAUUUUUUUAAUAGUGUUAUGUUAGUGAUUCACUGUUGGCAGGGAUUUUUGUUUACCAAAAGAAAAAUAAUAUUUACUGCUAAUUUUCACGAUGAAAAAAUUUAUGUUUUGCUUUCCUGUAGUAUGCAGUGGUCAUGCUAAUCAUAAGCUUUCUUGUACAAAUAUAUCCUCAAUGCCACGAGAUAUUUUAGUUAUGAAAGAAUCUUGAUAAGAUUUUAUUUAUGAACAAGUCUUGAUACGAAUCCUAUGUUGAAUCUUGUGAACGCUCGAAUCUCAUGGCUUUGAUGGAUUCGUAGAAUCUAAAAUUUGGUUGCGCCAUCCCUAAAAUAAUUUCAGUUUUAACUUUCGAUAUUCAACCUCCAAAUGUGAAUAGUUUAUUAAUUGCACAACCCUAACAGUUAAAUAAAUUUUUGCCCUGGUUGCCAGCCCGAGGUUGCGUUCCUGAAUUCCUGAGGCCUUUAUUUUUAAUUUUCGUAUGAAAUCAGAAGUGUAAGUGCAGUGUCAUUGGUGGUACAGGAUCAAGCAGCAUGAUCACCAACGACCAGAAGUUGAGCCUGUGGUCGAUGCUGAAGGCGUGGUGGACGACCAAGAACGUCAGCCCGACCGACCUCAUCAUGAAGAACCGUGUCGCGGCCGGCUUGCACCUGGGCCAGCUCGUGGAGAAGGACCCGGUGAGAGUCCGCCAGGCCGUCAAGCAUCUGUUCGAACUCUACCAGCAAGGGAAGAUACGCCCGAAAAUAGACUCCCAGUGGCCGUUAGACAAGGUUGUGGAAGCAACUAAAGUCUUGGCAGAAAGAAGAAAUGUUGGCAAAGUUCUCCUUACCAUCAAUGAUGAAAAACCAAAACCACAAUAGUGUUAUUAGUGGCAAAUCUAGCUAACAUUUUUUUUUCUAAAAAAAUAAGUGAUUAGCAUAAUUUUUUACCCACUAAUUAUAUUUUGACACAAUCUUUUUAUGCUGUAAAAUGACUUAUUCUAAGAAAUACAUUAUGUAUUUCUAAGAAUUCAAGUUAUAGAAUUUUAUGUUUGUAGUUUGAAAUUCACAAAACUAACUGAUUUCAAUGACAAAAUAAUUACUCAACACAACUGUGUUACAACAGAUGUCUCUUAAAUAAAUACUAAUAUUCCCUCAAGAUAAUGCAGAAUUGGUUCAUGCUCCCAAUAUUAAAAGCCUUAGAACCUCACUCUAGCCAGUCCAUUCCUUGCAAAUUCCUGGUAAACUGUGAACAUCACCAACCAUAGCUGUGACAUGCUUAUUGAACAUGGUCAAUGCAGCAUACGUAAACUCUAGCAGCCUUUGUCAAAAAAAAAAUUCUUUUACCUUCCAUAAUGCUUAGUUAUGCAUGCCAAAUUUGCUAUUUAAUUUCCUUGUUAUUAUUAUUUGAGGGUUUUCCCCAUGGUACAACAGCUUUCCUGUACAAUGUGUUGAGUCUAAAAUUUUCUCAAUAGAUAUUAGAUUUUAAAUCGCUUGCAUUACCUUCCAUAACUAAAUAACGUUAAGUAGAUAUCUGGUGAUAAAAAUUGUGACCCGACAACAAAUGUAAAGAGCUAUGAAAUCAGCUUACAGGAAAAUCCCUAAAUAAUAGAAAUGACAAAGGGAGCGUUCAAGUAUUACGUAACGCAAUUUUUUGAUAUUUUUGACCCCCCCUCCCCCCCAUGUAACGCGCCGUAACGUUUUUCUGUACCCUCCCUCCCCCCUAGUAAAAGUUACGUAACCCCAAGUGACCAUUUUUACCUCAAAGUCACAAUUAUGUGGCGUAACGUACCGGAAUAAGUCACUAAAAUACCUUUGUUAUUGUUUUAAUCGCGUUAAUGUUAUUUAACAUUUGAUGUGUCUUGCUUUUAAAAGCAAGAGCUUUCUAAUGUUAUUUUUUUGUCCUAAUAAAUUUUUACUACUCAAUCAUACAUUUAGCAAUCAUACAUUGAAUUACGUCGUUUUCCUGACUUGGCUCUGUCCUUACUCACUUUUUGCUUUAUCCGCCAUUGUUCUUCUCAUUCAUUCUCCUAUUUUAGCGUUUUACUAAUAAAGCUAUUAAAAUCAAAUAACAAAUUUUAUUUCUAAUAAUUAUUUUUACCUUUGGCAAUGCAAUUACAAACAUAAAACUAACGUGAAAUAAAAUAUAUUUGUCAAAAUAUAAUAGUAUUUAAGAAUACGAUCGAACGAAAACGAAAAACAUUUAAAAUAAAAUUAGCCAUAAUUAAAAUAAGUAGAUUGUAAAAAAAAAACAAUUAAAUUGGAGUUUUACUGCUCCUCUGUCCAUGGGUUUGCCAGCCACUCAGAUUCUUUCAUUACUGGCAUCCGGAGAGCAGACGAAGAGGGUUCCGGAAUUGUUAACCCGCUUGCAUCAACUUCGUCUUCGUCGAGCCAAUCGGCAUCCUCAGACGAUGUUUCACAGCAAUGCACAAUGCAGAGAAGCUCAUUUGCCCUUUUUGCAGCAAGUCGCUGUGGCCGUACUCGACUUUCACGAAGGUAUUGGGCAGUCUUGCCAUGCAUGUAACGAUUGUGCAUUUGCUCACUCUUGUGGGAUGUAAAAUAAAUCCCACAGGUUGAACAUACUCGGUUCUUUAGGUCGGAUUGUACUGAUGGGCAAAAUAAAUCGUAAGGCAUCUGCUUAAACCCUUCUAGAGGAGGCGACAGUUCAACAGACAACCUCACAAGAAGUGGCGAAAACUUGCAUGAUCCUUUGUCUAUGUGACUAGGUACCACGAGCUUGUUUGCGGUUUGAAGGAUUGGGCAGGGUGGCGGCAGGAAAGUUUCUGGAAAGACAGAUUUUAAUGCACUCCUCAAGCGGGAACAGCAGGAUUCAUCCACGCAUUUAAUAACUUGCAAAAAAUAUUGCGAUUCACGGACGUGAGCGCUAUACCACGCCAUAUUAGGUUCUGCUGGAUCCUGCAAGCUAUCUUCAGGGUUUCUAUAUUCCGCCGAAACAUCGUAGUUGUCAAUUUUCAUACAGUCGGUCGAGUGCUUGGAGCCCAUAAACUAAAAGGGUUGCCAUCUUGGGAGAACAAAAUACGAACAAUUCAAUCGGGAAUCCCCCGUAAAAAAUAAACGAAAAGGGUUGCCAAUUUGGGAGAUUUUAAUUUACUAGUUUUUUUAUUAACCUUUCAGACCAAUCGUCUUUCAUACCACAACAUUACUGUUGUGAUGAGAGAAAAUGUCACACAUAGAAAACAGUGUAUUUUGAAUAUCAAUACCUAUAUAAUUUCUAAUAUGGCGAUUGGAGUCUACGUUGACAACCAAAGUAUAACGAAGCCAUCCGAAUAGCGGUAUUUUUUUGUUUUAACUACUUUAUUGGAGUUAAAAAAACAUUAUUCACUAAUCCUGUAAAGCAACAAGCAGAAGCAAUUUUGUAAAGGUAAAAAAAAAUUUAAGUUAUCAUUACAUUUGAAAUUUUGAGAAAAAUUUUUUUUAAAAAAUGUGUGAAAGAAUCUGUCUCUACGCGACCGUUCUGAAGGGUUCAAAAAAAAAAAAAAGACUUAACGCGUAGGUCAAACCCCCUCCCUCCCCUGUAACGCAUCGUAACGUUUUAAAAGACCCCCCUCCCCCCCAAAUUCGUUACGUAAUACUUGAACGCUCCCAAAAUUAAAUAUUCAACUCGGUAUGAGACCAAGCCUUACAUAUGUAGUUAAUUCAAGAAGAUAGCCUAUCUGAAAAUGCAUUACCACCAUUCACUUUAUAAGUGUUAUAUUUUUAAUCAUGAUAGAAUAACAAAAAUGUAACUGUUAGUUUAGUAUUUAUAGAUCAAAUAGUGUCUCAUACCUUAAUAAAAUAAGUAAAUUUACAACACAAAAUUGAGUAACUGAAUAUUUUAGUCAAUUUAACACAAAAAUUAUGAAAUACAUAUGCAAAGUAACAUACCCUCUUUUAUUGCAUAAUCGUCGCACCUAUAUUUUAGGCCGUCAAAAUUGGGACAAAAAAACUUCUUGCGUAAACGUCGCAUGUUGUUUUUGGUCCCGCUAUUAGAUGCCAAGCGCUUUGUGUAGGUAUCUUUUCCAUAAAAAACUAUGUAUUUUAAAGUAGAAAUGUAAUAUUUAUUCAGACAUUACCAAUUACUUAUUUAAUUAACAAAAAUACUAAGUUGUCUGACGUGUAAAUUUUCUUUUAAAGACGUUUUCAAACGUUUCGACCUUUAUCUGUUCGUUUGCGUCAUUGUGAUGUACCAUUUAAAAUAAUGUAGAAAGCGCUAGUUGGCAUCAUUCGUGUUUGGUUAUGUUGCUUCCCAUAUAGAGCACGCACACGUAGUCGAAUAUCGAUAUCUCGCCAAUUGCAUGCAAUGUGCGCUCUCUGUCAAGUGCCGAGUUAACUACAUUUGAUGGCUCGCAUUCUUUCGUGGCAAGUGUGUACUACGACAAUUGUUACACAUUAGUUCACGUCACAGAUUCAAGUGGCUUGCGUUUGCGUCACAGUUUUGGUUUUUUCUAUUUAUAGUCAAAGAAAGGUUUUUGUUGCACGACUAUUAAUUAAAUUGUUUGGCAUGCUCUUUUAAACUUCACUUUUUAAAUAAACGUACUGUCCAUGAAUGGGUUUUGUUUUCAUAAAUAACUUUAUCUAACAAUUUUUUUUUAUCGUAUAAUCAUCAUACCCCUACUUUUCAAACUUGAUUUUAGAAUAAAAUGUACGAUGAUUAUGCGAGAAAACACGGUAUAUAGUCCAUAUUGUUUAUAGUCCAUAUUGGUUGAACAGCUCACAGCCAUUACAUUAGCAUGAGAGUUAAUAAGAUGUGAAAAGUACUUGCAUGCUACUAAGUGACACACACAAGCCGAAUAGGUAAAACAAAUCCUGCAUGAAUGUGGAAUUGCUAUGUUUUUGUCAACAAAACACCCCCAAUUUGAAAAGAGUGAAAAGGGGGGGGGGGGGGGGGGGGGGGGGAGUUGCAAUUUCAUACACACUCAGGAAAGGUCACAAACGUCAAAUUUUUCAGUGUGUUUGUGUUUAUCACUUAAAAUUUACUGCUCACGAGUGAAACUUCUUUAUCACCUUAACAUAACAAAUGACCUACACACUGACAGAGGCUUUUAGUAAGUGUGUAUGUAGGUAGUUUGUUAUGCGCUUUACAUUUUAAAACAGCCUAGUCAUAUUGCCAAAAUGAGUACAGUAGAGCCCUGUUAUAAUGUUUUUCAAGGGAGCACAAGAAAAAAACAUUAUAAGCAGGAAAACGUUAUAAGCAGGAAAUCUCAAUUUAGCACUUAACAGUGUUCGAGCUUUGUACCAAUGGACUCACCAAGCUAUGUAAACAACUUUAAUGUUAAAACCAAAGAUAGUAUACUUGAUACAUGAAUUUUCUGAAACAAGCCAACAAUUUUUCAACUUCGUCUUGUUCCCUGGCAAAAUUUUGUUUUUAAAGAUACACUGCCACAUUUUUUGUAAAAUUAUCUCACGAUUCAUGAUGACAACAUUAAGAGUGAGAACGUCUACUCCUUCACCACCUGAAAAUGUUUAAUUUUGGGAUUCCUACAUAUGAAUGAAAAAAAAAAUUAUUUGUAAGCAAUAGAAAACACUUUUAGUAAUGCCCUCGCUCAAUGGUUGGCAAUUUAAAUAUCGUAGGACUAUGUACGUGAAUCUGAAUACCCAUUGGAAUGGCAAGGAAGAGAAGAGUUGACUGAGGGUGCCAACUGACACAUAACUAUGAACAUUGUGUACCUUCAGUAUAUUGCAUAAAAUUGUAUUUUAACAAACUUCGUGUAUUGUAUGGCAAAUGGCAAUGAUUGUAAACAUAAACAUACAUAAAGGAAACUUUUGAUCAUAAGUGUUGGAAUAAUUUGGUUUUAAAACAUUUUUUUUUCCAUUUAUUGAAUGUUAGAAAGCAAACAUUAUAAGCAGGAAAUUACACUAUUUAUGAACGUUAUAUGCAGGAAAUAAAUACAUUGUCCUUAUGGGGGAAAUAUUGGGACUUUAAAAAUAUGACAUUAUAAGCUAAGCAGGAAAACAUUAUAUGCAGGAACAUUAUAACAGGGUUCUACUGUAUAUAAUAAAACCAAUGCCAGGUAUCUUGCUAUGUUUGUGAUAAUGAAAAAAAUUAGGAGAACUCACUUUUGUGUCUCAGAAACAAAAUAAAUAUCAAUAAGAUUAAAAAAAAAGCAAGGACACACAAACAAGAAUAACCUUUCAAGUUUUUGACCACACAUAGGCAUACAGCCAUAUGCAGAAAUCUUUUUUUUUUCUUGUUAGGGUCCCUGAAAUUAAAAAGGUAGCCUCAAAUACUCUGCAAGAACCAACCUGCAACCUGCCUUCUUAAAGGUGUCCUAAAUUUUAAGUAAAGAAUGCUGGCAGGAAUCUGACCGCCAGAUCAGAGCCUUAAGGCUUCCUAAAUCAAGAUGGGGUACGAUUUUUCAAAAUACCAAGCUGGUUAAUAAAACCUCUACGUUAAUUUAAGAGAAAUUGAAUGUGUGCUGCUUGUAAAUACUAAUGAUAACUUAAAAUAACGUGUAAGAAGUUCGGAUGCAUAUUUCAUUAAAAAUAUUUUAGUAUUAGACCACUACAGAAUCUAGCUACAUUUGUUUACAUCUGACAAGAUAUUUAAUUAAUGAUUGAAUGAACAGGUAAACAUUUUGUGAGUGUUAAUGCUAUAAAAUAUCAUCGUGGAAUAAUUUUAGGUUUCAGGGAGAGUUUUGGAUGUAAUAUGUAGCAGACCUGCCAACAAAAUCUGAUUCCAAAUCCUGUUUGUAGAAUUUAAAAGUCCUGUAAAAUCCUGUAAUAUUCAAAAUCUAAAUUCACGUUAGGUUUUGCAGUAAUUUGACUGUACAAAGUAAAAUAGUAGGGGUAAAUGUUGAAAGUACAGGCUUAUUGAAACAGAUAAAUUAAUUAAAUAAAUUUUAUGUUUAACAACCAGGUGCUGCCAUCUGUGGCGGAUAAUGCAAAAAAAAAGUUCACAAAGACGAAAAGAAACUUUAUAGAAUUGACUGUUUGAUGAAUUUCAACAAGACGGACAAAAUUUUAAUAAAAUUCCAUGUCAAAAAUCAGGUCCAAAAUUGGGGUUAAAUAUUAUUUCUCAUUUUCGCUUUUAUCAAGCCAAUUCAUUAUAUUUAAAAAAAUUUUGCUCUACAAAUUGAAUGAUUUGAGUUACUGUAUCUGCUCUGGCAGUGAAUUCUAGUGGCAGGUGGGGAAACUACGUGUAAUUCGCUCCAGAGAUGUAAAUGAAAACACAAAUUGUGUAUAUUUUAUCACGCUUGCCAUUAUUUUUAAGAAUUCUGCAUUGAAUUUUGUGUCCGAUUUUUGUAUUAUAAGUGUAUUUACAUCACGUGGGACACAUGAAAUUCCUCGUUACCAGGUUAAAUGUUAAAACAUCAUUGGUGAGUACUGAAUGACUUCUUUUUAUUUUUACUUUCCUAAUAUGCAAUGUCUAUAAGUUUUUUCUUUAACUAAGAAUGUAAUUUGCAACUAUUGAAUAAAAAGUAUGUGAUUCAUUUUGUCAGAA
Molecule: long non-coding RNA, 9366 nt
Organism: Bacillus rossius redtenbacheri
Lineage: Eukaryota; Metazoa; Arthropoda; Insecta; Phasmatodea; Bacillidae
Exons: 2
Source: RefSeq, a predicted model, not a curated record